This 1932-nucleotide long non-coding RNA is filed under the name Brassica rapa (field mustard). Its description in RNAcentral is "long non-coding RNA (BRAP_LNC006686)". Lineage: Eukaryota; Viridiplantae; Streptophyta; Magnoliopsida; Brassicales; Brassicaceae. The record is from RNAcentral.
ACGCUUUCCCGAGUCCUUAGCGAUCAUGCGGUUGUGAUUGUCGACGAUAUUGCGCAAGACGAGUGGAUGAACGACCACUUUCUCGAUCCUACUUGCUGAUUGCGUCGUCGUCAUUAGUAGUAACUCGAUUUCUCUGGGGAACUUCCGAAACUUUGCUUUUUCAACUACUUCUUCUACUCUUUCUCUCGUGCUUUUAUCUCUCUUUUAUGGGCCGCACUUGUAGUACAUUAAUAAGCUUCUUAGAGCACCAUUAACUGGGGUACUUAAUAGUUUUUGGAUUUAACAAAAAAAGAAAAUCUCCUAUAUAUUAAUUUAUGGAUUUAACCAAAAAACAGAAUCUCCUAUAUAUUAAAAGAGAAUCAUUACAACAUAUUUUUGUAGCCACAUGUCAUCACCACAAUCAUUCUUAGAAUCCUUAGAAAAAUAUGUUGGUCCAUAUAAAUAUAUAAUAAGCUUUUUAUUAAAUUAACCAUAAAUUAAUCAUAAAUGUUCUUCAUUGUUUCCUUAAAUAAAAAUCACGGAAUUACCUAAUGUAGCUAAAGUAUAUAUGACAAUUAAUGAUUUUGAAUAAUAAAGAUUUGAUAAAAAUCAGUCUAUUCUUUAUCAUUUUUAAUUUAUUUUAAAAUAAAUUAAACAACCACAUUAACUAUAUAAUAAAAAUCAAGAUUUUUUUCGUAUAUGUUAUGUUUUGAAUUCUAAAAAACGAAUAUAAAUGACUAAAGUUGUUAAAAAUCUCACACUCAAAUUUUUGUGAUCCAUGGUUUAAAAUUUAUGUUAUAAUAAGAUAUAUAUAAUUACGAAAUUGCAUAAGUAGAAAGUCUCAUUUAAUAAAUAUUAUAUAUAUGCAUAUUAAUUUUUUUUUUAAAUAAAGUAUAUGCCAUAUAAAAUACAUAAGUAUUUUAAUUUCGAAUUUGAUGUGAAAUUUUUGAUAAACAUUUUGAAAAAUUAUUGACAACUUAAUAUUUAGAUUUUAAACUUUGCAUUGAAUGUUUUUAAAAUUAUAAAUUACUAAAACUAUUAAACAUCCCAUAAAUUGUUUAUUGUUAUCAUUGAUUUAAAAUUUUUGUUAUAAAGAAAUACAAACGAUCAAAAAUAAUAUGAGUAUAAAAUAUUUUUUUAACAGAUGUCAAUAUUAAAAAUAUACUAUAUAUCUAUGUUAAUAUUUUAAACUUAAUUUUAUAACAUAUAAAAUAGAAAAAAGUGUUUAUCUUGAUAAAUAAAAUUUAUUUAAGUAUUUGUACCAAUUUAAUUAAAUACGUAAUAGUUAUUAAAUUUUUAAUUACUCAAUAUAUAUUUAUUAUUUCAUAAUAUGUAAAAAAUAUAUAAUACUUAAAAAUAAUUUAUUUAUAAUAUUCAUCCUGCGCAAGACGCGGAUCUUAAUCUAGUACAUAAUAAAAUAAGAAGUGCUACUUGAGGGGUGCUUAAUUAAGCUGUUGAAGAAGUGGUGCUUGAGGGGUGCUUAAUCAUAUAUUAGUAAAAAACUGAUUAAACAACCCGUUAGAGGUGCUAUGGUUAAAAAUGGUCUUAUAUCUUCUCAGUCACUUUGAUAUACUAGAUGGUUUUCACCUCGCGCAAGCGCGGGGUUAGUGGGUUUUCUAUGUCAUUUAGUUAUAAGUGCAUGAUAUAUACAGUUUGCGUCUAUACGCCUUAAAUUGUUUUAUAAUUUGCAUGUACUUGCAAGGUCAUACUAUUUGUAUGUGUUAUAUUUGUGUUUUGUACGUUUUUUGGUAUUUGUAAUUCCUUUUCAUAUAUUGAUGGCACAUAUAUGAUUAAUAUGUUAAGUUUUGUACCGUAUAACUUUAUGUUCUUCUAGUCUUAUCUUAAUCUUUUCCUAUGAAUAAAUUGCAGGUACCUGCGUACAGCUCUGAGCCGGAGGUCAAAACGGUGUGAAUGUUAAUUAGAAUAUUAGAAUCAUGUAAUGUCACAUUAAAA